RNAcentral lists this ribosomal RNA (370 nucleotides) under uncultured organism. Its description in RNAcentral is "bacterial SSU rRNA". It matches the Rfam family "Bacterial small subunit ribosomal RNA", at positions 526 to 896 of the family's 1533-position model. The record is from RNAcentral.
CGUAGGGUGCGAGCGUUAAUCGGAAUUACUGGGCGUAAAGCGUGCGCAGGCGGUUCGUUAAGUCAGCUGUGAAAGCCCCGGGCUCAACCUGGGAAUUGCGGUUGAAACUGGCGAACUUGAAUCUGGCAGAGGGGGGUGGAAUUCCACGUGUAGCAGUGAAAUGCGUAGAGAUGUGGAGGAACACCGAUGGCGAAGGCAGCCCCCUGGGCUGAGAUUGACGCUCAGGCACGAAAGCGUGGGGAGCAAACAGGAUUAGAUACCCUGGUAGUCCACGCCCUAAACGAUGUCAACUAGGUGUUGGAGGAGCAAUCCUUUGGUACCGCAGCUAACGCGUGAAGUUGACCGCCUGGGGAGUACGGUCGCAAGAUUA